RNAcentral lists this ribosomal RNA (325 nucleotides) under uncultured eukaryote. Its description in RNAcentral is "partial 18S ribosomal RNA". It matches the Rfam family "Eukaryotic small subunit ribosomal RNA", at positions 1470 to 1796 of the family's 1831-position model. The record is from RNAcentral.
CCCUUAAAUGUUCUGGGCCGCACGCGCGCUACACUGAUGCAUUCAACGAGCCUAUCCUUGACCGACAGGUCCGGGUAAUCUUUGAAUCUGCAUCGUGACGGGGAUAGAUUAUUGCAAUUAUUAAUCUUCAACGAGGAAUGCCUAGUAGGCGCAAGUCAUCAGCUUGCGUCGAUUACGUCCCUGCCCUUUGUACACACCGCCCGUCGCUCCUACCGAUUGGGUGUGCUGGUGAAAUGUUCGGAUCGGCCGUUUGUCGCGGUUUCCGCGUCAUGUGGCUGAGAAGUUCAUUAAACCCUCCCACCUAGAGGAAGGAGAAGUCGUAACA